CUCCCACCUCUGAUGCUCGCCUUCAAGAUUUCUUGAGGGCUGCACCGGUCCUGUGGAACUCGCUUCCCUCCUCCGUUAGAUGCUCACCCAGUCUCCACUCCUUCAAAAAAUCGUUAAAAACCCACUUCUUCAUAAAACCAUAUCAAUUAAACUGGUAAUAGCUCCCGACUGAUUCCUCUUCUGCAACUGUCACUAGUCUAAUACUAUCCUUACCUUUUUGUGUCAUUUUACCCCACUCCCUCUAGCAGGUAAGCUCAUUGAGCAGGGCCAUCAAGCCCUCUGUUCCUGUGUGUCCAACUUGUCUGGUUACAACUACAUGUCUGUUCGUCCACCCAUUGUAAAGCGCUGCUGAAUUUGAUGG
Molecule: non-coding RNA, 361 nt
Organism: Pelobates cultripes (western spadefoot toad)
Lineage: Eukaryota; Metazoa; Chordata; Amphibia; Anura; Pelobatidae
Source: the annotation of a GenBank genome assembly